GGUAGUCCACGCCCUAAACGAUGAGCAUUAGGCAUUGGGCUUUGCUCAGUGUCGCAGCUAACGCUUUAAAUGCUCCGCCUGGGUAGUACGGCCGCAAGGCUAAAACUCAAAGGAAUUGACGGGGACCCGCACAAGCGGUGGAGCAUGUGGUUUAAUUCGAUACGACGCGCAGAACCUUACCAAGGCUUGACAUGUAAUGCAACAAUGCUAAACUAGGGAAACCUAGUUGAAUUACACAGGUGGUGCAUGGUCGUCGUCAGUUCGUGCUGUGAAGUGUAUGCUUAAG
This 286-nucleotide ribosomal RNA is filed under the name uncultured bacterium. RNAcentral's name for it is "partial 16S ribosomal RNA". It matches the Rfam family "Bacterial small subunit ribosomal RNA", at positions 789 to 1084 of the family's 1533-position model. The record is from RNAcentral.